AACGUACGCUGGCGGCACGCCUAAUACAUGCAAGUCGAACGAACCUUCGGGUUAGUGGCGGACGGGUGAGUAACGCGUGAGAAUCUGCCCUCAGGAGGGGGAUAACGGUUGGAAACGGCCGCUAAUACCCCAUAUGCCGCGAGGUGAAAUGAAUUUCGCCUGAGGAUGAGCUCGCGUCUGAUUAGCUAGUUGGUGUAGGUAAUGGCUCACCAAGGCAUCGAUCAGUAGCUGGUCUGAGAGGAUGAUCAGCCACACUGGGACUGAGACACGGCCCAGACUCCUACGGGAGGCAGCAGUGGGGAAUUUUCCGCAAUGGGCGAAAGCCUGACGGAGCAACGCCGCGUGAGGGAUGAAGGCCUCUGGGCUGUAAACCUCUUUUAUCAAGGAAGAAGAUCUGACGGUACUUGAUGAAUAAGCCACGGCUAAUUCCGUG
This 433-nucleotide ribosomal RNA is filed under the name uncultured bacterium. Its description in RNAcentral is "bacterial SSU rRNA". It matches the Rfam family "Bacterial small subunit ribosomal RNA", at positions 29 to 507 of the family's 1533-position model. The record is from RNAcentral.